This is an unclassified non-coding RNA of Gopherus agassizii (Agassiz's desert tortoise), 188 nucleotides long. The record is from Ensembl. Lineage: Eukaryota; Metazoa; Chordata; Testudines; Testudinidae.
UUGACAGCCUUGAAGACCUCUGUUUAUCCACAGAACAGGUACAGCACAAGUAGCAAUAGCAUAAGCUUCCCUACAACACCCUGACAAUGUGCCUCAAACUUUCUCCUACGUGGGAAAAAAUCAUGGGAAUUACACUGAAAAGAUAUAUUUGAUAACUGAGUCCAUUUCCUUGACAGUGUAGGGUUGUU